Molecule: ribosomal RNA, 564 nt
Filed under: uncultured bacterium
Lineage: Bacteria
Description: bacterial SSU rRNA
Rfam family: Bacterial small subunit ribosomal RNA
Source: RNAcentral
GCGAAAGCCCCUUCGGGGGUGAGUAGAGCGGCGCAAGGGCGAGGAAUGCGUUCCUACGUACCCCGAGGUCAGGGAUAGCCCAGGGAAACCUGGAUUAAUACCUGAUGUGGUCCUUCGGGAUCAAAGGCUUGCUGCCUCGGGAGCGGGGAACGCCCUAUCAGGUUGUUGGUGGGGUAACGGCUCACCAAGCCGAAGACGGGUAGCGGGUGUGAGAGCAUGACCCGCCGCAUCGGGACUGUGACACUGCCCGGACUCCUACGGGAGGCUGCAGUAACGAAUCUUCCGCAAUGCGCGAAAGCGUGACGGAGCAAUGCCGCGUGCAGGAUGAAGCCCUUCGGGGUGUAAACUGCUGUCAGGGUUUAGGAACACAAUGACCAGACCCAAAGGAAGGGCCGGCUAACUUCGUGCCAGCAGCCGCGGUAAUACGAAGGGCCCGAGCGUUAAUCAGAAUCAUUGGGCUUAAAGCGUACGUAGGCGGGCGCGCAGGCACCUUGUGAAAUCCCUCGGCUCAACCGAGGAAUUGCUUGGUGAACCGCGUGCCUUGAGACAAGUAGGGGCUGUCGG